Molecule: ribosomal RNA, 428 nt
Filed under: uncultured archaeon
Lineage: Archaea
Description: bacterial SSU rRNA
Rfam family: Archaeal small subunit ribosomal RNA
Source: RNAcentral
UACCUGCAGCUCGAGUGGUAACCGCUAUUAUUGGGCCUAAAGCGUCCGUAGCCGGCUUAGCAAGUUUCCUGUUAAAUUCAGCGACCUAAUCGUUGAGCCGCGGGAAAUACUACUAGGCUAGGAGGCGGGAGAGGUCGACGGUACUUCUGGGGUAGGGGUGAAAUCCUAUAAUCCCGGGAGGACCACCAGUGGCGAAGGCUGUCGACUAGAACGCGCUCGACGGUGAGGGACGAAAGCUGGGGGAGCGAACCGGAUUAGAUACCCGGGUAGUCCCAGCUGUAAACGAUGCGGGCUAGGUGUUGGGGUGGCUACGUGCCACUUCAGUGCCGCAGGGAAGCCAUUAAGCCCGCCGCCUGGGGAGUACGGCCGCAAGGCUGAAACUUAAAGGAAUUGGCGGGGAGCACCACAAGGCGUGAAGCUUGCGGUUC